Non-coding RNA from Peromyscus maniculatus bairdii (prairie deer mouse), 153 nucleotides. NCBI's taxonomy places the organism in Eukaryota, Metazoa, Chordata, Mammalia, Rodentia, Cricetidae. The record is from RefSeq and is a predicted model, not a curated record.
CUGCUGCUCCAUGGCUGAGGUUAGGCAUCUGUUUCACUCUCCUUUCUUCUCUCCUAUCUCACUUGGAUUUUCCUACCUGGCUCCACCCUGCCCUGCCAUAGGCCAAUGCAGCUUUAUUUAUCAACCAAUCAGAGCAACACAUAUUCACAGCGU